GAGGUCCCGCCUGCCCAGUGACCAAAAGUUUAACGGCCGCGGUAUUUUAACCGUGCAAAGGUAGCGCAAUCAAUUGUCUUUUAAAUGAAGACCUGUAUGAAUGGCAUAACGAGGGUUUAACUGUCUCUUUCUCCUGGUCAGUGAAACUGAUCUACCCGUGCAGAAGCGGGUAUGAAUAUACAAGACGAGAAGACCCUAUGGAGCUUUAGACGCCCACCAAUCACGAAAAGCAGGUCUCGCUCAACGGACCCCCAAACAACGUGGUACUGGCACAAACGUCUUCGGUUGGGGCGACCGCGGGAGAGAAAAAAGCUCCCGAGAGGAUUGGGGCUACCCUAAAACCAAGAGCUACACCUCUAAGUCACAAAACAUUUGACCAAAAAUGAUCCGGCUACAUGCCGAUUAACGAACCAAGUUACCCUAGGGAUAACAGCGCAAUCCCUUCCCAGAGUCCAUAUCGACGAAGGGGUUUACGACCUCGAUGUUGGAUCAGGACAUCCUAAUGGUGCAGCCGCUAUUAAGGGUUCGUUUGUUCAACGAUUAAAGUCCUACGUGA
RNAcentral lists this ribosomal RNA (556 nucleotides) under Clupea pallasii (Pacific herring). RNAcentral describes it as "partial 16S ribosomal RNA". It matches the Rfam family "Bacterial large subunit ribosomal RNA", at positions 1849 to 2603 of the family's 2925-position model. The record is from RNAcentral. Lineage: Eukaryota; Metazoa; Chordata; Actinopteri; Clupeiformes; Clupeidae.